AGACCCGAAACCCGGUGAUCUAGCCAUGGGCAGGUUGAAGGUUGGGUAACACUAACUGGAGGACCGAACCGACUAAUGUUGAAAAAUUAGCGGAUGACCUGUGGCUGGGGGUGAAAGGCCAAUCAAACCGGGAGAUAGCUGGUUCUCCCCGAAAGCUAUUUAGGUAGCGCCUCGUGAAUUCAUCUCCGGGGGUAGAGCACUGUUUCGGCUAGGGGGCCAUCCCGGCUUACCAACCCGAUGCAAACUGCGAAUACCGGAGAAUGUUAUCACGGGAGACACACGGCGGGUGCUAACGUCCGUCGUGAAGAGGGAAACAACCCAGACCGCCAGCUAAGGUCCCAAAGUCAUGGUUAAGUGGGAAACGAUGUGGGAAGGCCCAGACAGCCAGGAUGUUGGCUUAGAAGCAGCCAUCAUUUAAAGAAAGCGUAAUAGCUCACUGGUCGAGUCGGCCUGCGCGGAAGAUGUAACGGGGCUAAACCAUGCACCGAAGCUGCGGCAGCGACACUAUGUGUUGUUGGGUAGGGGAGCGUUCUGUAAGCCUGCGAAGGUGGCCUGUGAGGGUUGCUGGAGGUAUCAGAAGUGCGAAUGCUGACAUAAGUAACGAUAAAGCGGGUGAAAAGCCCGCUCGCCGGAAGACCAAGGGUUCCUGUCCAACGUUAAUCGGGGCAGGGUGAGUCGACCCCUAAGGCGAGGCCGAAAGGCGUAGUCGAUGGGAAACGGGUUAAUAUUCCCGUACUUGGUGUUACUGCGAAGGGGGGACGGAGAAGGCUAUGUUGGCCGGGCGACGGUUGUCCCGGUUUAAGCGUGUAGGUGUGUGUUCCAGGUAAAUCCGGUUCACUUUAACACUGAGGCGUGACGACGAGGCACUACGGUGCUGAAGCAACAAAUGCCCUGCUUCCAGGAAAAGCCUCUAAGCAUCAGGUAACAUCAAAUCGUACCCCAAACCGACACAGGUGGUCAGGUAGAGAAUACCAAGGCGCUUGAGAGAACUCGGGUGAAGGAACUAGGCAAAAUGGUGCCGUAACUUCGGGAGAAGGCACGCUGACACGUAGGUGAAGUGAUUUACUCACGGAGCUGAAGUCAGUCGAAGAUACCAGCUGGCUGCAACUGUUUAUUAAAAACACAGCACUGUGCAAACACGAAAGUGGACGUAUACGGUGUGACGCCUGCCCGGUGCCGGAAGGUUAAUUGAUGGGGUCAGCGCAAGCGAAGCUCCUGAUCGAAGCCCCGGUAAACGGCGGCCGUAACUAUAACGGUCCUAAGGUAGCGAAAUUCCUUGUCGGGUAAGUUCCGACCUGCACGAAUGGCGUAAUGAUGGCCAGGCUGUCUCCACCCGAGACUCAGUGAAAUUGAACUCGCUGUGAAGAUGCAGUGUACCCGCGGCAAGACGGAAAGACCCCGUGAACCUUUACUAUAGCUUGACACUGAACAUUGAGCCUUGAUGUGUAGGAUAGGUGGGAGGCUUU
RNAcentral lists this ribosomal RNA (1466 nucleotides) under Salmonella enterica. RNAcentral describes it as "partial 23S ribosomal RNA". It matches the Rfam family "Bacterial large subunit ribosomal RNA", at positions 711 to 2158 of the family's 2925-position model. The record is from RNAcentral. Lineage: Bacteria; Pseudomonadati; Pseudomonadota; Gammaproteobacteria; Enterobacterales; Enterobacteriaceae.